GCUAUUUUGGCAGAGAAAUGUAAUAAAUUUAGAAUUUAUAAAUGUAAUUUAUAUUACAAAUAGUA
RNAcentral lists this transfer RNA (65 nucleotides) under Eristalinus vicarians. RNAcentral's name for it is "tRNA-Leu". Lineage: Eukaryota; Metazoa; Arthropoda; Insecta; Diptera; Syrphidae. The record is from RNAcentral.